Molecule: ribosomal RNA, 2931 nt
Filed under: Triticum aestivum (bread wheat)
Lineage: Eukaryota; Viridiplantae; Streptophyta; Magnoliopsida; Poales; Poaceae
Description: partial small subunit ribosomal RNA
Source: RNAcentral
AUGUCGGCGGCGGUCGAGGAGCAGAUGGUAGUGAAAGCGAUCCGGGAGGAGUGCCCGUGGGAGUCCCUCCCCAAGCGUCUCCAGUCCACUCUCCACACCAAGGACGAGUGGCACCGCAGGAUUGUCGAUUAUUGCAUCCGAAAACGAUUACAAUGGAAUACCUGCUUUGCCCGUCGAGUUUACAGGGAAGGGGAAUACUAUGAAGAAAUGAUGCGCUAUCUCCGGCGCAAUCUUGCAUUAUACCCAUACCAUCUUGCAGACUAUAUAUGCCGAGUAUUGAGGAUCUCACCAUUCAGAUAUUACUGUGACAUCCUGUUCGAAACUAUGAAGAACGAACAACCAUAUGAUAGUAUUCCAAACUUCACUGCUGCUGAUGCCCGAAGGCUGACUGGUAUUGGAAGAAAUGAAUUUAUUGAUACUAUGAACAAAUGCAGAUCAAAGAAACUAAUGUGGAAGCUGAACAAAUCAAUCGCAAAAGAUUUACUGCCUACACAGCCUGUUGACUUCCCAAUCGAGCCUUGGUGGGGAGUUUGUCUGGUUAACUUUACAUUGGAAGAGUUCAAGAAACUUUCAGAAGAAGAAACAGCAACCAUAGACAAAAUCUGCAAAGAGGAAGCCAAUUCAUAUGUUCUUUUUGAUAUGAAGAUUAUAGAUGACCUCUAUAAAAGAGGGUUAGUGUACUUUGAUGUGCCUGUUUACACUGAUGACCGCUUCAAAGUUUCUAGGCUUGAAGGCUUUGUUUCUAACAAGGAUCAAUCCUAUGAAGACCCAAUCGAAGAGCUACUUUAUGCUGUAUUUGUUGUGUCAAGUGCUAAUGCUACUGUUGCUGAAUUGGCUGCAACUUUACAAGCUGACCUUUAUCAGCUGCAGGCAGCGGCAUCAUUUGCUUGCCGACUGGGCUGGGCUGUAAAACUUGUGGAUGGUGACUCUGUAUUUAAAGACGAAGUUGAACCUCCAUCUCUCAGUAACAUUCUUAGUGAUGAUGAUGAAGGUUCAAAUGCAAGUAUCAACUCAGAAAAGUCCAAUCAACAGUUGCUUAGCAUCGAUACUAAUGGACCCAGGAGAAUAUCUGGGACAGCUCAUGUAGGUUUUGUUGUUGAUGCCAAUGUUACUUCAUACUUGAUGAUGGGUUCAUUGUCCCCAGGUCUAAAAUCUCAUGCUGUCACGCUGUAUGAAGCUGGAAAAUUAGGUGAUUCUUGCAUUGCGGAACUAUGCAGUGAUCUGGCUAGUUUAGAAGGAAAGAAAUUUGAGGGUGUGCUAGAGGAGUUUGCUAAUCAUGCAUUCAGUCUGCGGUGGUCCCUCGAGUGUUUAAAGUCCGGUGGAGUUUCUACCGAUGAUAGUACUGAUAAAGAUGGUGAAACAAAGACUCCAACAAAUUUAUUGCAUGAAAAUGUUACAGCCCAUCUGGCCAAUGCAAACAUGGAGGACAGAGAUGAGGAUGGCCUUGGUGAAGUGCCCCAGGAUAACUGCUCUACUGAUGUUUUAGAUAAUAAAGAUGCGAAUAUAUCAUCAGUGUCAAUGGGUUUACCAGAACGUGGGGAAAACAUGGUUAGAAUUGAGGCUCAGAAUGACUCAACUGGCACCAAUGCGUUGAUGAUAAAAAGGAAGUACACUGUUGAUGUCCUCCGAUGUGAGAGCCUUGCUUCACUUGCUCCAGCAACACUAGAACGGCUAUUUCUCCGUGACUAUGACAUUAUUGUGUCAAUGGUACCUCUUCCUUCUUCAUCAGUUCUUCCUGGUCCUUCAGGCACGAUUCAUUUUGGUCCACCCUCUUAUUGUGCGAUGACACCUUGGAUGAAGCUAGUAUUGUAUACUGCAGGCCAUUCUGGACCACUAUCUGCUGUUUUCUUGAAAGGACAACGCUUCAGAUUGCUUCCUGAACCAUUAGCUGGUUGUGAAAAAGCAUUGAUAUGGUCUUGGGAUGGCUCUAUGGUUGGUGGACUAGGAGGGAAGUUUGAAGGGAAUUUGGUCAAGGGCAAUCUACUCUUACAUUGCUUGAACUCGAUGUUGAAGCAAUCUGCUGUGUUAGUGCAACCGCUUAGAAUAGAUGAUCUUAACGCAUCAGGAAACCUUGUCACAGCGGAUAUCCCUUUACCCCUGAAGAAUGAUGAUCAUUCAAUUGCAUCUGUGGUAGCUCAAGCGAAUUUGCCAAAGGAACAGGUCUUUAAUUUGACCUCAGUACUGAAAGACCUAUCCAGUAAAUUCCAGUUGACCACGCUUGGCUACCUUCGUCUAUUAAGACUUAACAAUCUUGUUGAAUCAGAUAAGUUUCACCCAGAAAAUGCAAGUUACCAGUGGGUGCCCUUGAGUUUGGAGUUUGGAAUUCCCUUGUUCAAUCCAAACUUAUGUGAGAAGAUUUGUGAAAGGGUGGUUGCGUCUCGUAUACUUCAGAAAGAUGAUCUCACUGAACAUUAUGAUGUGAUGCAAAAUGUAAGGAGGCGUCUCAGAGAACUUUGUAGUGAAUAUCAAGCAACUGGACCAGUAGCUAAGUUAUAUAACAAGAGGGGAAGCUCGAGGGAUCUACCUCGCACUUUAAUCAAUAGUAUUAGUAGCAGAUGGGAUCCAACAAAUGAUCCUUCAGCACCAACCAACACAAGAACCCCAAGUGAACACGAGAGGCUAAAACUUGCUGUCCGACAGAGAUGCGGCACAGAAGUUGUGGGCUUUGAUGGGAGGACUGUCAGGUCAUAUUCACUCUCUCCGGAGCAGGACGAGGUUACCACCAAACACAUCUCUGACGAACAGUCAUCCACCCAUGAAGGAAAGCCAGAUCAAGAAGAUGCACACAGCAAGGAUGUAACCUUGCCAGGACUAAACCUUAUCUUUGACGGAGUUGAAUUACACCCCUUCGAUAUUGGUGCUUGUCUUCAAGCACGCCAACCUCUCUGGUUGAUAGCUGAGGCAUCAACAGUUUCAUCAACCCUCAUAUGA